Molecule: ribosomal RNA, 262 nt
Filed under: uncultured bacterium
Lineage: Bacteria
Description: partial 16S ribosomal RNA
Rfam family: Bacterial small subunit ribosomal RNA
Source: RNAcentral
UACGGGGGGAGCGAGCGUUUUAUUCGUCAUGACUGGGCGUAAAGGAUUCGUAGGCGGCCUUUUGAGUUUUGGUAAAAAGACUGAUAGUAAUACUGUACGCCAUUUAGACUAUAAGGCUUUUUGUAGAGUAUCAUUGGAGGAUGGCAGAACUCGCAAAGAAGGGGUAAAAUCCAAAAAUAAUGCAGAGGGAUCGCAAUAGGUGAAAACGGUUAUCAUCGAUGAUAACUGACGCUGAGGGAUGAAAGCAUGAGUAUCGAACAGG